UUAGCAAAUAUAUAAAAAUAAUGCGAAUAAGUACACCAAACAAGCCAUAUAAGCACUCUUUGAGCAUUUCUCGUCAAUUAUUCAGUUAGUUGCAUUAGAUAAACUAAAGAGACAAGCUCAGAUGUGUUCAACGCUGCGAGCCCUAUUUUUGCUCAGCAUUCUGGCCAUUUGCCUGUAUUUGGCCAUGACUGAAGAUGUGUCUGCUCCUCAAGUUAUAACCCAAAGUGAGCCCAGACACACAACCGCAGACGAUUUUCAGUUUUGAUUUUGAAAUUUUGACAACACUAUGGCUAGAAUCUUAAUACCAGACGGAAGGAAAUAAUUUUGGUUGAGCCAAUAAAUUGCUGAAUUUUUAAACAAAAAAA
Drosophila virilis is the source of this 365-nucleotide non-coding RNA. NCBI's taxonomy places the organism in Eukaryota, Metazoa, Arthropoda, Insecta, Diptera, Drosophilidae. The record is from RefSeq and is a predicted model, not a curated record.